AGCUUUGCGCAGUGGCACUAUCGUAGCCAAUGAGGUUUAUCCGAGGCGCGAUUAUUGCUAAUUGAAAACUUUUCCUAAAGUUGAAAUAUUAUAAAGUUAACAAUAGAGUUUUAAUAUUAAA
Molecule: small nuclear RNA, 121 nt
Filed under: Panthera pardus (leopard)
Lineage: Eukaryota; Metazoa; Chordata; Mammalia; Carnivora; Felidae
Description: U4 spliceosomal RNA (ENSPPRG00000021242.1)
Rfam family: U4 spliceosomal RNA
About the family: U4 small nuclear RNA (U4 snRNA) is a component of the major U2-dependent spliceosome. The structure of U4 snRNA from yeast and human has been reported.
Source: RNAcentral